GUGCUCACUUCGGCAGCACACAUACUAACAUUGGAAGGAUACAGAGAAGAUGAGCAUGGGCCCCUGCCCACAUGCAAAUUUAUAAAGCGGUCCAUAUUUUU
This is a small nuclear RNA of Bison bison bison, 101 nucleotides long. NCBI's taxonomy places the organism in Eukaryota, Metazoa, Chordata, Mammalia, Artiodactyla, Bovidae. The record is from Ensembl.